GCCCGGGUGGUUCAGUAGGUUAAGCGUCUGACUUCAGCUCAGGUCAUGAUCUCACGGUUUGUGGGUUCGAGUCCCGUGUCGGGCU
Transfer RNA from Felis catus (domestic cat), 85 nucleotides. It matches the Rfam family "tRNA". Rfam says of the family: Transfer RNA (tRNA) molecules are approximately 80 nucleotides in length. Their secondary structure includes four short double-helical elements and three loops (D, anti-codon, and T loops). Further hydrogen bonds mediate the characteristic L-shaped molecular structure. tRNAs have two regions of fundamental functional importance: the anti-codon, which is responsible for specific mRNA codon recognition, and the 3' end, to which the tRNAs corresponding amino acid is attached (by aminoacyl-tRNA synthetases). tRNAs cope with the degeneracy of the genetic code in two manners: having more than one tRNA (with a specific anti-codon) for a particular amino acid; and 'wobble' base-pairing, i.e. permitting non-standard base-pairing at the 3rd anti-codon position. Lineage: Eukaryota; Metazoa; Chordata; Mammalia; Carnivora; Felidae. The record is from Rfam.